GAUUGAACGCUGGCGGCAUGCCUUACCCAUGCAAGUCGAACGGUAACAGGUCUUCGGAUGCUGACGAGUGGCGAACGGGUGAGUAAUACAUCGGAACGUGCCCGAUCGUGGGGGAUAACGAGGCGAAAGCUUUGCUAAUACCGCAUACGAUCUACGGAUGAAAGCGGGGGAUCUUCGGACCUCGCGCGGACGGAGCGGCCGAUGGCAGAUUAGGUAGUUGGUGGGAUAAAAGCUUACCAAGCCGACGAUCUGUAGCUGGUCUGAGAGGAUGAUCAGCCACACUGGGACUGAGACACGGCCCAGACUCCUACGGGAGGCAGCAGUGGGGAAUUUUGGACAAUGGGCGAAAGCCUGAUCCAGCCAUGCCGCGUGCAGGAUGAAGGCCUUUGGGUUGUAAACUGCUUUUGUACGGAACGAAAAGCCUCUUUCUAAUAAAGAGGGGUCAUGACGGUACCGUAAGAAUAAGCACCGGCUAACUACGUG
RNAcentral lists this ribosomal RNA (483 nucleotides) under uncultured bacterium. Its description in RNAcentral is "partial 16S ribosomal RNA". It matches the Rfam family "Bacterial small subunit ribosomal RNA", at positions 27 to 507 of the family's 1533-position model. The record is from RNAcentral.